Culex pipiens pallens (northern house mosquito) is the source of this 1349-nucleotide long non-coding RNA. RefSeq lists it as uncharacterized. The transcript is spliced from 3 exons. NCBI's taxonomy places the organism in Eukaryota, Metazoa, Arthropoda, Insecta, Diptera, Culicidae. The record is from RefSeq and is a predicted model, not a curated record.
CAUGACGGGUUCAUUCCGCUUCGAAUUCCGCUUCGAAAAUUGUUUCGAAAUUUUCUAAACGGAAUCUCCGGUUGGACUCCAUUUCGAUUCCGUUUAACCAUUUUUGCACAAGGGCGACACCUACUGGUGUACGGUGGAACCUCGGUGACAUUUCGCCGCGAUUCGCCGUAACUGCUUUGGGAUGGUUGUGUGAGUGCAAAGUGUCAAAAACCGCGCCACGACAGUGAUGGAUCUGGGCGUUCCGGGUUAAUUUUGAACUUGUCGCAUCAAGUUCGUCCGAUUCUUGCGUAAAAAUGGUUCUCGUUUUACUGGUCCUUCACCCAAAAUCCUCCUCCCGAGCCGUAGCAGAUUCUUCUUCGAAGGAAUUGUUGCUGCUGCUUCCUAGGAGAUUUCGUUGACGAGCUCUCCUGGGCGACGACGAGCGGGAAUCAUCGGAAAGCUUACCCGUGUGUUGAUGACCGCGGAGAAAUGCAACCCAACCCGGCCAAUGGAAUCGACCAAGGUGGAGAAGAUCGUCGGUAUUGACCGGCACUUCGAUUGGACCACGUCGGGACUGGUUUGUGUACAACGCGUGGGUGACGGUCAAGCCGAUCGACACGCGUUCUGGAAGAACGCUGCUCUGGUGGAGGAAUACCGCAACAUGACCCGAAAGUGAUAUAUGAUAGCGACGUGGGGGUGAUAAAAUUCCUGCAAAAUCAGCUGCCAAACCUUAAUCCGACUGUAGAAACUCCGCGAACUGACCGUGAGCCAAAAAGGACGGAGUGUCAAAACCGAAGGUCGUGGAGCUGCGGGAGAAGGCCAAUCGGUCAACUCGCGGUUGCGAGGUCGUGUAGAUGACGAAGAUUGGAUCUGAUGGUCGUGACCCGAUUCUACGAACAGAUUCCGGCCGGUGUCUCCGGAAUGCUCCCGGGACGGCAGAAAAGAUCGGCAAAACUUUGAUAACGGUGUACUUUUAUUGUAAAACCUUUUUAAGAAAUUAAUAAUAUUCAUAAGGGUUUAUGGGGUUUGGGGUUUGUUUUUAUUGUUUAUUUUGUAAAUAAAAUCUUUUUAACCUUAAAAACAUACUCAGGCAUUUUUUUCUGGUUGAAUACUAAUUCAACCAAAGCAAAACAAAACCAGGAACAAAAAAUAAGAAGAAGAAGCAGCUGUCAAAACUAACCCGUCCAUUCCGUUUCGAUUCCGUUUGAAUUCCGCUUGAACCGAUUUGCGGCGAAAACUCAAACGGAACCGGUUGUUGCGUUUGAAACGGAAUACGUUUUAGAAUCUAAAACGAACACUGUUUAGAAUUCGAAUCGAACUUUUUUCGCUCAAGCGGAAUUCUAAACGGAAUCCAAACGGAACGCGCUGAG